Molecule: long non-coding RNA, 907 nt
Organism: Balaenoptera acutorostrata (minke whale)
Lineage: Eukaryota; Metazoa; Chordata; Mammalia; Artiodactyla; Balaenopteridae
Exons: 5
Source: RefSeq, a predicted model, not a curated record
CCCUGAGGAGAAAAGGAAAGGAUUUUCCUCAGCAGACACAUUCGGCAUUUAUAGAUUUUGAAGCUGCUGUGAAUGUAUCUAACUACAGAAGAUUUGUAAAAAAAAAACUCAUCCAAUCCAAGAGGACCUGUAGAAACUUUCUUUGGGCCACAGGAUCUUUUCUCUUUCCUUUGCAACGAAUUCAUCUAUUUAAUAAGUCUUACCGUGAAAAACAUUGAUUCUUUUUAGGAUGGGAACAGUUUGAAGGAUUCUGAGGCCAGAAAUGGCAUGACCAACUCUGUUCUUUGUAAAGAUAAUUCUGGAAACUUUGUGCAGGAUGAACAAAAAGAAGACAUGAACAUCUGCAAGAACAGAGGUGUGUCCUGGUGGUCUGUGGCUGAAAGGCAGUGACAGCUGUGGAGCUGAAGCCCUCACUGCCUCUGACUGGAACCUGGACCCAGAAACCCUCCGUAAAGCUCUUGUUGGAGACACCAACUUGGUUGGGAGAAAGCAACAUCAGAAUCUUUCUUUCCAAAGUAUGGUUUGCAGACCAGAAGCACCAACAUCACCUAGAAGCUUCUGAGAAAGGCAGAAUCUCAGGCCCCACCUCCAAUCUAUUGAAUCGAUUCUGCAUUUUAAUAAGAUCCCCAGGUGACUGAAAUGCACAUAAAAGUUUUCAAAGCGCUGCUCUAGAAGAAAGUAUAUGGAUUAAGAAAGAUCUGCUUUGUCCCUCCAUGUAUCCCAGAUUCACUCAGUAGAAUUAAUAAUCAUCUAAAAUACUAACAACUCACUCAUGGCUGCAACUGAAUAGUUUCACUUAGAAGAGGCUACUUCCUCCUGGCAGCGCUUCUAAGAUUCUGAGUAGCAACAUAGGUCGAAUGGCAUUUUGUAAACACCCUAAAUGUAGUUUGUGGCAACCUCCCCCCGC